GACGAACGCUGGCGGCGUGCUUAACACAUGCAAGUCGAACGGAAAGGCCCUGCUUUUGUGGGGUGCUCGAGUGGCGAACGGGUGAGUAACACGUGAGUAACCUGCCCUUGACUUUGGGAUAACUUCAGGAAACUGGGGCUAAUACCGCAUAGGAGCUCCUGCUGCAUGGUGUUGGUUGGAAAGUUUCGGCGGCUGGGGUUGGACUCGCGGCUUAUCAGCUUGUUGGUGGGGUAGUGGCUUAGCCAGGCUUUGACGGGUAGCCGGCCUGAGAGGGUGACCGGCCACAUUGGGACUGGGAUACGGCCCAGACUCCUACGGGAGGCAGCAGUGGGGAAUAUUGCACGAUGCGCGGAAGCCUGAUGCAGCAACGCCGCGUGCGGGAUGACGGCCUUCGGGUUGGAAACCGCUUUCGCCUGUGACGAAGCGUGAGUGACGGUAAUGGGUAAAGAAGCACCGGCUAACUACGUG
RNAcentral lists this ribosomal RNA (468 nucleotides) under uncultured bacterium. Its description in RNAcentral is "partial 16S ribosomal RNA". It matches the Rfam family "Bacterial small subunit ribosomal RNA", at positions 28 to 507 of the family's 1533-position model. The record is from RNAcentral.